This 1567-nucleotide ribosomal RNA is filed under the name Galago senegalensis (Senegal galago). RNAcentral describes it as "16S rRNA". It matches the Rfam family "Bacterial large subunit ribosomal RNA". Lineage: Eukaryota; Metazoa; Chordata; Mammalia; Primates; Galagidae. The record is from RNAcentral.
ACCAUAACUAGCCCAAAUCACCUAAACUAAACAAUCCUUCACCACUUAACUAAAUCAUUCACCAUCCGCAUUAGUAUAGGAGAUAGAAAAUACAACUAGGCGCUAUAGAGACAGUACCGCAAGGGAAAGAUGAAAGACACAAUCAUAAAGUUAAAUAAAGCAAAGCUUACAACUUGUACCUCUCGCAUAAUGAUCUAACUAGAACAACUUUACAAAGAGACCUUAAGCCAACAACCCCGAAACCAGACGAGCUAUCUACGGACAGUACAUGAACAAACUCAUCUAUGUGGCAAAAUAGUGAGAAGAUCCUCAGAUAGAGGUGAAAAGCCUACCGAGCCUGGUGAUAGCUGGUUGUCCAGAAUAGAAUAUAAGUUCAACUUUAAACUUAUUCAAAGAAAUAAAAAUCCUAACAUAAGCUUAAAUGUUAGUUCAACGAGGUACAGCUCAUUGAACAAAGGAUACAACCUUAUUUAGAGAGUAAUCAAAUUACCCAACCAUAGUUGGCCUAAGAGCAGCCACCAAUUAAGAAAGCGUUAAAGCUCAACAUUAACCCAUUCCCAUAUACCUAUCCCCCCAACCAACUCCUAUAAUAAUCACUGGACCAAUCUAUUAAAUAAUAGAAGAAAUAAUGUUAAUAUGAGUAACAAGAACUAAAUUCUCCCUGCACAGACCUAUAUCAGAUCGGAUGCCCACUGAUAAUUAAACUUAGGUGCCACAAACAACUUACCUAAACAGCACCCAACCAACCCGUUAACCCAACACAGGUGUGCACAAUAAGGAAAGAUUAAAAUAAGUAAAAGGAACUCGGCAAAGACCAAACCCCGCCUGUUUACCAAAAACAUCACCUCUAGCAUUACCAAUAUUAGAGGCACUGCCUGCCCAGUGACUAAAGUUUAACGGCCGCGGUAUCCUGACCGUGCAAAGGUAGCAUAAUCACUUGUUCCUUAAUUGAGGACUAGAAUGAACGGCCACACGAGGGUUUUACUGUCUCUUACUUAUAAUCAGUGAAAUUGACCUCUUCGUGAAGAGGCGAAGAUAAACAAAUAAGACGAGAAGACCCUAUGGAGCUUAAAUUUAACACCCAUGUUCCACUCUACAACUCCCAGGAGCUCAACACCCCAACAUUUGGGUGAACAAUUUUGGUUGGGGUGACCUCGGAGCACAAACUAACCUCCGAGCAUUAUUUACCUAGACCUUACCAGUCAAAGUACAUAAAUGUCAUAUUCAUUGACCCAAACAAUUGAUCAACGAAACAAGUUACCCUAGGGAUAACAGCGCAAUCCUGUUCUAGAGUCCAUAUCGACAACAGGGUUUACGACCUCGAUGUUGGAUCAGGACAUCCCAAUGGUGUAACCGCUAUUAAUGGUUCGUUUGUUCAACGAUUAAAGUCCUACGUGAUCUGAGUUCAGACCGGAGAAAUCCAGGUCGGUUUCUAUCUAUUCAUAUUUCUCCCAGUACGAAAGGACAAGAGAAAUAGAGCCAAUCAUACAGUCAAGCUCUCAGCCAAAUAGAUGAUAUUGUCUUAAUCUAAUACUUUUCCCUUUCACCCUGCCCAAGAACAGGGUUU